GAUGAACGCUGGCGGCGUGCCUAAUACAUGCAAGUCGAGCGAACGGACGAGAAGCUUGCUUCUCUGAUGUUAGCGGCGGACGGGUGAGUAACACGUGGAUAACCUACCUAUAAGACUGGGAUAACUUCGGGAAACCGGAGCUAAUACCGGAUGAUAUUUUGAACCGCAUGGUUCAAAAGUGAAAGACGGUCUUGCUGUCACUUAUAGAUGGAUCCGCGCUGCAUUAGCUAGUUGGUAAGGUAAUGGCUUACCAAGGCAACGAUGCAUAGCCGACCUGAGAGGGUGAUCGGCCACACUGGAACUGAGACACGGUCCAGACUCCUACGGGAGGCAGCAGUAGGGAAUCUUCGGCAAUGGGCGAAAGCCUGACGGAGCAACGCCGCGUGAGUGAUGAAGGUCUUCGGAUCGUAAAACUCUGUUAUUAGGGAAGAACAGAUGUGUAAGUAACUGUGCACAUCUUGACGGUACCUUAUCAGAAAGCCCCGGCUAACUACGUG
Molecule: ribosomal RNA, 497 nt
Filed under: uncultured bacterium
Lineage: Bacteria
Description: partial 16S ribosomal RNA
Rfam family: Bacterial small subunit ribosomal RNA
Source: RNAcentral